GUGGGAAGGGACUGAGUGCGGGCAGUGGAAGUUGUUGGGGGGUGUGUGGAGACUGAAGGAGGGCCGGCUCCAUUCUUCACUUUUGCAGAAUAAUCCCAUGCGCGGAGAGUCAUAAACCCCAGUGAAAUUAGUAAGAGUUUUCACGUAAAAUUUGGGCGUACGUUCCCAUUGCACUGCUGUAAAUUUCUGUUAAGGUUGGCGGGUGUUGCUCUUGAGGAAGCGCUUAUAGGAUUACCCUAUAAGGACUAGCCUUUUCCUUGAAUCUUUGUCACAAGGGCUCUUUUCCGGCACCAGCGUUGGAGACUUUUGCCCCCCCUCCCCCCGGAUUGUGCGAAGACCAGAGGCAAGAAGUAGCACUUCGGAAAAGCUGAAAGGGAGACCUUUGCUACUAGCCAUCUUUGUACAAACUAUUUUGAGUUCGCCUGUAUGAUAAACUUCAGAGAAUUAGCCUUCGGUGAAAACAAAAGGGAUUUAGGGGUACUUUGAAAACUAAAGGAGACGAUCGAUCUAUUCCUGCCACAGAAAAUCACUCUUUAAGAUGUGUUCAACACCGGAUUAGGAGCCGUGCUGAGCCAGGCGGAUGACAAUGGGGACCUUCAUCUGGUGACGUUUCUGAGUAAGAAACUGCAGACUGGCGAGAGACACCUUUCCACAAUAGAACAGCCCGUCUUAAAAAGACUGAAAUACUGGGAAAUGAAUGAGAAAUCGGAUUUUCUGCUUCAAGAGACAGAACAACAUGUGACUUGGAGGAUUGCUGUGUUUGCAGUAAAAGAUG
Non-coding RNA from Pogona vitticeps (central bearded dragon), 775 nucleotides. The record is from RefSeq and is a predicted model, not a curated record. Lineage: Eukaryota; Metazoa; Chordata; Lepidosauria; Squamata; Agamidae.